CAGGCCUAACACAUGCAAGUCGAACGGUAAGGUCCAGCUUGCUGGAUACACGAGUGGCGCACGGGUGAGUAACGCGUAUGCGACCUACCCUUAACUGGGGGAUAGCCCGAAGAAAUUCGGAUUAAUACCCCAUAACAUCACGUAUUCGCAUGAAUAUGUGAUUAAAACUCCGGUGGUUAAGGAUGGGCAUGCGUGACAUUAGUUAGUUGGUGAGGUAACGGCUCACCAAGGCGACGAUGUCUAGGGGGCCUGAGAGGGUGAUCCCCCACACUGGUACUGAGACACGGACCAGACUCCUACGGGAGGCAGCAGUGAGGAAUAUUGCGCAAUGGACGAAAGUCUGACGCAGCCAUGCCGCGUGCAGGAUGACGGCCCUACGGGUUGUAAACUGCUUUUUUACAGGAAGAAUCUUCCGCACGUGUGCGGGAUUGACGGUACUGUAUGAAUAAGCAUCGGCUAACUCCGUGCCAGCAGCCGCGGUAAUACGGAGGAUGCAAGCGUUAUCCGGAUUUAUUGGGUUUAAAGGGUGCGUAGGCGGAAUAAUAAGUCAGUGGUGAAAUACUGCAGCUUAACUGUAGAACUGCCAUUGAUACUGUUAUUCUUGAGUGCGAUUGAGGUAGGCGGAAUGUGUAAUGUAGCGGUGAAAUGCUUAGAUAUUACACAGAACACCGAUUGCGUAGGCAGCUUACUAAGUCGUAACUGACGCUGAGGCACGAAAGCGUGGGGAUCGAACAGGAUUAGAUACCCUGGUAGUCCACGCUGUAAACGAUGAUCACUAGCUGUUGGCGAUAGACCGAUCAGCGGCAAAGCGAAAGCAUUAAGUGAUCCACCUGGGGAGUACGAUCGCAAGAUUGAAACUCAAAGGAAUUGACGGGGGCCCGCACAAGCGGAGGAACAUGUGGUUUAAUUCGAUGAUACGCGAGGAACCUUACCUGGGCUUAAAUGCAGGA
Molecule: ribosomal RNA, 950 nt
Filed under: uncultured bacterium
Lineage: Bacteria
Description: bacterial SSU rRNA
Rfam family: Bacterial small subunit ribosomal RNA
Source: RNAcentral